UACGGGGGGAGCAAGCGUUGUUCGGAUUUACUGGGCGUAAAGGGCGCGUAGGCGGCCACCGCAAGUCAAUUGUGAAAUCUCGGGGCUUAACUCCGAAACUGCAUUCGAUACUGCCGUGCUUGAGGACUGGAGAGGAGACUGGAAUUUACGGUGUAGCGGUGAAAUGCGUAGAUAUCGUAAGGAAGACCAGUGGCGAAGGCGGGUCUCUGGACAGUUCCUGACGCUGAGGCACGAAGGCCAGGGGAGCAAACGGG
RNAcentral lists this ribosomal RNA (254 nucleotides) under uncultured bacterium. RNAcentral describes it as "partial 16S ribosomal RNA". It matches the Rfam family "Bacterial small subunit ribosomal RNA", at positions 524 to 776 of the family's 1533-position model. The record is from RNAcentral.